GCGGGAUUAGCAAAAUGGUUAUGCUCCAGCUUCCCAAGCUGGCCACGCCGGUUCGAUUCCGGUAUCCCGCUCCA
This 74-nucleotide transfer RNA is filed under the name Lentisphaerota bacterium. RNAcentral describes it as "Lentisphaerae bacterium tRNA-Gly". It matches the Rfam family "tRNA". From Rfam's summary of the family: Transfer RNA (tRNA) molecules are approximately 80 nucleotides in length. Their secondary structure includes four short double-helical elements and three loops (D, anti-codon, and T loops). Further hydrogen bonds mediate the characteristic L-shaped molecular structure. tRNAs have two regions of fundamental functional importance: the anti-codon, which is responsible for specific mRNA codon recognition, and the 3' end, to which the tRNAs corresponding amino acid is attached (by aminoacyl-tRNA synthetases). tRNAs cope with the degeneracy of the genetic code in two manners: having more than one tRNA (with a specific anti-codon) for a particular amino acid; and 'wobble' base-pairing, i.e. permitting non-standard base-pairing at the 3rd anti-codon position. RNAcentral also lists the same sequence under 1 other name. Lineage: Bacteria; Pseudomonadati; Lentisphaerota. The record is from RNAcentral.